GACGAACGCUGGCGGCGUGCUUAACACAUGCAAGUCGAACGCUAAGGCCCUGCUUUUGUUCUUUUCUCGAGUGGCGAGCGCGUGAGUAACACGUGAGUAUCCUGCCCUUGACUGUGGGAUAACUUCAGGAGACUGGGGCGAUUACCGCAUAUAACCUCCUACUGCAUGUGGCGUUUUGGAGAGUGUCGGCGUUUUGGGAUGAACUCGCGGCUUUGCAGCUUAUUGGUGGGUAAGUGACGUACUAACGCAUUGACGGGUAGCCGGCCUGAGAGGGUGACCGGGCACAGUGGGACUGAGAUACGGGCAAGACUCCUACGUGAGGCAGCAGUGGGGAAUAUUGCACAAUGGGCGGAAGCCUGAUGCAGCAACGCCGGGUGCGGGAUGACGGCCUUCGGGUUGGAAACCGCUUUCGCCUGGGACGAAGCGUGAGUGACGGUAAUGGGUAAGGAAGCACCGGCUAACUACGUG
RNAcentral lists this ribosomal RNA (468 nucleotides) under uncultured bacterium. RNAcentral describes it as "partial 16S ribosomal RNA". It matches the Rfam family "Bacterial small subunit ribosomal RNA", at positions 28 to 507 of the family's 1533-position model. The record is from RNAcentral.